RNAcentral lists this long non-coding RNA (2332 nucleotides) under Homo sapiens (human). RNAcentral describes it as "HSALNT0236900". Lineage: Eukaryota; Metazoa; Chordata; Mammalia; Primates; Hominidae. The record is from RNAcentral.
CACCUGAACCCGGGAGGUGGAGGUUGUAGUGGGCCGAGAUCACGCCAUUGCACUCCAGCCUAGGCAACAAGAACGAAACUCUGUUUAGAAAAAAAAAAAAUUAAAAACAUUAUGUGGACAAAAUACAUUUGCAAGCUGAGACUAGCCUGUGGCACACCGGUUAGUGACCUCUAUUCCACAUGCUGAAAUAAUGCAGGCCAGACUGGGUCCAGGAAUCCACCUCUAACUCUUUCCCACUGCCAACAUUAAGAUGCAAAAGAGGAAGAGUGAUGUGGCAGCUCCUGGAAACCCAGGCAUCUCUGGGAAAGCAAGCAGUGUUAUGGCUCAUGUGUCACCUUUUACCCACAGGAGUUGAUGAUGUGGUUCCCGGUAUGCCAAGUAACUAGGAGGGAGGAGGUCAGCACUGGGGAGGGGAAGGUAACAUCCUCAGUCAAAGUUGGACCUCCCAGACCUGUUAGGCAGAGUUACAAAGAAAGACAAUGGGUUGGAAGGAGGAUGGAAACUGAGGUGCUGGCCAAGAACAUAGCAAGAUUUUGGCCCCCCAAAACAAGCUGGAAAGUGAUGUCACUUCCUAUGUAAUAAUAAUGUGGCUUCCGUGGAAACCUUCCAACUUAACACUGCAGAAUCUGAAAAGAAAUGGCAAUGAGCAGAGGUCUCCCACCCUCACGUGGAGGACAGGGUCCGCAAAGAUGAGUCACAUUGUAGAACUUCACUAUUCAGAGAAAGCCCCUUCACAUGCAGAAUCUCGCUGGUCUCUCAGGACAAUCCUGUGAGGCCCUUUCUCCUUCCCCGUGCCCAUUUCUGUAGAAUCAUUUAUUCAUUAAAUUCACUGAACACUUUCCAUGGGCUGGGCACUCUUAGGCAUUGGGAACAUAGGAGUACACAGGUCCUGGGCACUGUCCUCCCCUGUGGCUGGGUCAGUCAUCCUUACUCUGAAUCAUGGCCCAGACUGGCCUUGCCCUACUCCUCUCUAGGUAGAGCAGUGAUCUCAGGCCAACUCUUGCAUUUUGUUCCAGAAACCUUGAUUAUUUCCCUGACUAUUGGUCACUUCCCGAAAUGCACUGAACUGUGCCAGGAAUAGGAUAUGUUUUUAAGUGCUUGAGACACAGACAAGUGGCAGACGCAUACCCAAAUUCCAACCAUACUUUACUUCUGACCUAAUUUUAAUAUAUGUUUCAUGCAGUUACACAAUUAUCUGUGCAUAAUGCUCUGAGAAAAGGGAUGGCACAUACAGUUUCUCCUGAAGCGGGAAACAGAGCCCAGUUGGUAAGGUGGCCAGUCUCUAGGGCAUCUUAGAUGAACCUUGUUUCUUCCUAUUACUUUUCCUUCAUCUACUUUUUUUUUUUCUGAGAUAGAGCCUUGCUCUGUCGCCCAGGCUGGAGUGCAGUGGCAUGAUCUCGGCUCACUGCAACCUCUGCCUCCUAGGUUCAAGGGAUCUUCCUACCUCAGGCUCCUGAGUAGCCAGGAUUACAGGUGCAUGCCACCGUGCCCGGCUAAUACUUUGCAUUUUUGUAAAGACGGGGUUUCACCAUGUUGGCCAGGCGGGUCUCGAACCCCUGACCUCAAGUGAUCGGCCGCCUAAGCCUCCAAAGUGCUGGGAUUACAGGCAUGAGCCACCGUGCCCAGCCUUCCUUCAUCUACUUAUUUUCCUGUGAUGCCUCCAUGUUUUAGAGUAUGUGUCUGAGGGGCAGGAAUAUGUAUUAGAUAUAUCUAGGGCAGUCCCACCAGCUUUACAUUCUUGAGACCUCAUCCAUCAGUUCUUGUUUUGCAGACAUAUACUUCUAUUGACUACAAUGAGAAGUGUGUCUCUUAAAAAGGUAAGUCUGGCCGCGCGUGGUGGCUCACGCCUGUAAUCCCAGCACUUUGGGAGGCAGAGGCAGGUGGAUCACGAGGUCAGGAGAUCGAGACCAUCCUGGCUAACAUAGUGAAACCCCGUCUCUACUAAAAAUACAAAAAUUAGCUGGGUUCGUGGGGGUGCGUGCCUGUAGUCCCAGCUACUCAGGAGGCUGAGGCAGGAGAAUCGCUUAAACCUGGGAGGCGGAGGCUGCAGUGAGCCCAGAUCAUGCCACUGCACUCCAGCCUGGGCGACAGAGUGAGAUUCUGUCUCCAAAAAAAAAAAAAAUUAGCCAGGUGUGGCAGUGCACGCCUGUAGUCCCAGCUACUGGGGAGGCUGAGGCAGGAGAAUUGCUUGAACUGGGGAGGCAGAGGCUGCAGUGAGCCCAGAUUGUGCCACUGCACUCCAGCCUCAGUGACAGAGCGAGACCCUGUCUCAAAAAAAAAAAAAAAAAACAAGUGAACAAAGGUCUCUGGUUUUCCUAGGCAGAGGACCCUG